CCUACGGGUGGCUGCAGUGGGGAAUAUUGCGCAAUGGGCGAAAGCCUGACGCAGCGACGCCGCGUGAGGGAUGAAGGCCCUCGGAUUGUAAACCCCCGUCAGCCGGGAAGAACGGGCAGUGUGCUAUUCAGCAGCGAAUUGACGGUACCUGCAAAGGAAGCACCGGCUAACUCCGUGCCAGCAGCCGCGGUAAUACGGUGGGUGCGAGCGGUAAUCGGAAUUACUGGGCGUAAAGCGCGCGCAGGCGGUCUGUCAAGUCAAGGGUGAAAUCCCCGCGCUCAACCUGGGAACUGCCUUUGAAACUGGCAGACUUGAGUGUGUGAGAGGAUGGUGGAAUUCCAGGUGUAGCAGUGAAAUGCGUAGAUAUCUGGAGGAACAUCGGUGGCGAAGGCGGCUAUCUGGCACAUAACUGACGCUGAGGAGCGAAAGCGUGGGUAGCAAACAGGAUUAGAUACCCUUGUAGUC
This 465-nucleotide ribosomal RNA is filed under the name uncultured bacterium. Its description in RNAcentral is "partial 16S ribosomal RNA". It matches the Rfam family "Bacterial small subunit ribosomal RNA", at positions 338 to 795 of the family's 1533-position model. The record is from RNAcentral.